AUCGCUUCUCGGCCUUUUGGCUAAGAUCAAGUGUAGUAUCUGUUCUUAUCAGUUUAAUAUCUGAUACGUCCCCUACCCGGGGACCAUAUAUUAAAUUGAUUUUUGGAAUAGGGAGAUGGAAUAGGGGCUUGCUCCGUCCACUCCACGCAUCGACCCGGUAUUGCAGUACCUCCGGGAACGGUGCACCCCCC
Molecule: small nuclear RNA, 191 nt
Organism: Astyanax mexicanus (Mexican tetra)
Lineage: Eukaryota; Metazoa; Chordata; Actinopteri; Characiformes; Acestrorhamphidae
Gene: U2
Rfam family: U2 spliceosomal RNA
About the family: U2 is a small nuclear RNA (snRNA) component of the spliceosome (involved in pre-mRNA splicing). Complementary binding between U2 snRNA (in an area lying towards the 5' end but 3' to hairpin I) and the branchpoint sequence (BPS) of the intron results the bulging out of an unpaired adenosine, on the BPS, which initiates a nucleophilic attack at the intronic 5' splice site, thus starting the first of two transesterification reactions that mediate splicing.
Source: Ensembl